CAGAGGUGGCAAGCGUUGUUCGGAAUUACUGGGCGUAAAGGGCGCGUAGGCGGUCUUGCAAGUCCCCGUGUGAAAUCCCUCGGCUCAACUGAGGAACUGCACGGGAAACUGCUUGGCUUGAGUUCGGGAGAGGGAAGCGGAAUUCCGGGUGUAGCGGUGAAAUGCGUAGAUAUCCGGAGGAACACCGGUGGCGAAGGCGGCUUCCUGGACCGACACUGACGCUGAGGCGCGAAAGCUAGGGGAGCAAACGGGAUUAGAUACCCCGGUAGUCCUAGCUGUAAACGAUGAGUGCUGGGUGUAGAGGGUAUUAACCCCUUCUGUGCCGAAGCUAACGCAUUAAGCACUCCGCCUGGGGAGUACGGUCGCAAGGCUG
RNAcentral lists this ribosomal RNA (373 nucleotides) under uncultured organism. RNAcentral's name for it is "bacterial SSU rRNA". It matches the Rfam family "Bacterial small subunit ribosomal RNA", at positions 526 to 896 of the family's 1533-position model. The record is from RNAcentral.